Musa acuminata AAA Group (dessert banana) is the source of this 2039-nucleotide long non-coding RNA. RefSeq lists it as uncharacterized. The transcript has 2 exons. The record is from RefSeq and is a predicted model, not a curated record. NCBI's taxonomy places the organism in Eukaryota, Viridiplantae, Streptophyta, Magnoliopsida, Zingiberales, Musaceae.
CAACCUUUUCAACCUGGUGGCCGCCGUCGGGGACUCAGACGCUCCGUGCUCCUCAUGCUCGACCGUCGAGCCGUGGAAGGCAAUCCCGUCCGCGAGAUUUAUCUGAACGAGAUGGUGAAGCAGAUGCGCGGCCGCCACAGUGUGUCGGCAGAGGCUUUCUUCCAUUAAAUAUAGGAGACCAAAAAAAUGCUCAGCAGCUUUGCUUGCAAUGUGGGUGGAAAUUGGAACUGACAUUGAAAAGCUUGCAACAGUGGCUGUUAUCUUCCAAGAAAUGAAGAAGCUUGCUCAGUCUAUGUUGAGAUGAAGCUGGGCUGUACCAAGUUUGGAAUAUGUAUCAAGGAGAAGGUAUAUGCGCAUGAUAUGUGGACUGAUGUAGAGGGUCCGGAAGCUAUCUUGAAGGAGUAGGAGACAUGAUUUAGAGUGUGCCGAUUCUGCAAUUUGCAGCAUAUUAUACAAGAGGCCAUGUAGAGAACCAGAGUGUCAGUAAUCAAGGUCAUUGAGGGUGGAAGAACACCUCGUGCUAUUGCAAUGGGCACAUCAGCUGCUUUGUAUUCGAAGUGUGGUUAGCGAUGAGGGCUGUGGAUCAUACCAUGACGGUAGAACCUUGAUAACCUUAAAGAUCAAAAGGAUCAGUGGAAUGAGCAGAAGAGAUUGCAAGGUUGUUGAGACAUCAUGGUCUUCCGACGAGGGAAAUCUAUGACUGCUUGCUGACGAUAUUCGUGUUGGCCGGGAAACCACCAACAAAACAUGGAUUUGAUGCAGAUGAAGAAAUAUUUAAGAUUCGGUAAGAGGAAAGCCCGCCACAGACGGGCUAAGAAAAAGAAAACACUGUUGAGCAGGUAGAUUACGAAGAUGAUGAAACAAUAGGCACAGAAGUAGAUCAUAACUCAGAAAUAACAUUGGUUUAAUGUCCAUACUGAGGCAAACAUUUGCAGAUUCUUAUGGCGGAUAACAUCUGUUACCUUCAGCAUGAUAUUAACAGGCUGAAGAACCGUACACAGAGAAGUGUGCAUGCUCAGAAAAAGAUCAAGCACACAAUGGCACAGCAGAGGAGGAAUACCCAAAUCUGAUGGAGUGACCUCUCCAGCUCCAUCUCCCGCCUCCUUCGCCUGCGGCUGCCCUCAUUGCCACCCAUGUGGUAAGGAUUCGAGUAGUCAACGCUGGCCCACUCCUGAUCCCGGACCAUCCACGAGAGCACCGCCACCGCCAAUCCCCCCAGCACGCCGCCCGCCAUCGAGUGGCUCGGUUGCAGGUAACGGUGAGGCCGAAUCUCCGGGUACCGCGCCUCGUUCGGCCCGAUCGCGCCCCGGCGGGCCGGCCGCGGACGACGCGGUACCUCGACGCCCGGGUGGGAGUUCCUCCCGCAGCCUCGGUGGCCGCGGCCGUAGAGCGGCACCAGAGCGUCCAGGGAGAGGGCGGCCUUGCAUACGGGGCACAGCUGGGGGGCGGCGCUCUCGGCCUGCUGCAGCCACCUGUAUAUGCACGGCCAGCAGUAGAGGUGGCCGCAGAGCGUGACGACCGGCUCCGCGGCGACAUCGAGGCAUAUGUUGCACUCAAAGCACCCGUUGCCGGAGGCCAGCGCGCCGGCGUCCGGCUCGCACGUCUUCCCAGGCUCGUCCCCGCGACGGGAUUCCCCUCGAUGGCCGUCCAUCUCGCUUGGGUUCGGUGCCGCUGCUUGUUGCGGUUGGCCGACGACAAGGAACGGUGACAGCCGCAGCAAGCAAAGUCAUUCAUAAAGACGAGCUUACGUGUGCAACUUUUAAGAUAAGGCUGCCGUUGGUGAUCUUUUGGCUCGCGAACGGCACGAACCUUAAAGAACAGAUGUGAGAAGAAGGCGGCGCGGAUGGCAGGUAAACAUCCCGGACACCAUAUAACGAGAGAAACAAUUGCUGAGGUUGCAGAGAAACAGAUGUGUGUGUGCUUAUCGUCUUCCCCACUAUUUUGAGAUAGAAGAAACCCAUGAAGGUUGAGGAAAAAUAUGUAUCAUGGCUUUAUGGUCUGCAUAUUAUUAAUUUUCUCUAUUUUAUUCUUCCAUUUAA